CCUUCGAUAGCUCAGUUGGUAGAGCGGAGGACUGUAGCUACAACCUCCGGCAGGAGAAAUCCUUAGGUCGCUGGUUCGACUCCGGCUCGAAGGA
Heterocephalus glaber (naked mole-rat) is the source of this 94-nucleotide non-coding RNA. The record is from Rfam. Lineage: Eukaryota; Metazoa; Chordata; Mammalia; Rodentia; Bathyergidae.